CACCCCCAGGGACGGUGAUGCCACCACCUCCCUGGGCAACCCAUUCCACUGCUCCUGAGAAGAAUGCCAGUGUGCUCCACCUGCGAACCUGCAUCUCAGAGAGAAAUGAAACAUCCCGGCUGUAUGCUGCUCUCUCUGAGGUUCUUGAAGACCAGACUGCUGUCCUGGACAAGAUGUUUCUGGUGGAGGUAGGAAGAUGCAAGCUCUGCCAGUUUACAAGCAGCAUCAAAAGUAAGAUCGAGACGUGCCUGGCUCAUGUACGUGAAAAAGAUGCAGUAUGUCACACUUCAGUCUGUCCUAAAAUGGACCAAGGUGCAAAUGAGUUGUACAGCAUAGGAGAUGAAGUUCAUCAAGCAAAUAAAGAAAACAAAGAAAAUCUUGUAAAAUUGUCCAUCUAUUACCCAUCUGUCAGAUGCGUCAAAAUACAAACCCUCACUGAUGUGACAUGAGCCCAGGGAGUCCAAGCAAUAACUCUCAUGCUUCUCACUCAUGAAAUGAUGAACACCUUUGUCUGGAGAAGAAACAGGCCAUUUUCAGCCUGAGGAGCCCUGGCCUGCAGUGCCUGGUUCUCUUUCAUAUACCCUGGACUUCAGCAAAUCCAGAAAGAGGAAAGGUAAAGAAGAAGCACAGUCUAUUACAACUUUUGGCCAGUGCUGUGUUUCCAGUGUUAGAACACUGACUGUACUUAAGGAGGUAAAAAAACAAACCUGAAGCUAAAUCGGGGCCUGAAAAUUGCAAAAAUCAGAAGAAAGCUAGUCAUGAUAAUAACAUGGUAAGAUCUUCCUAUGAAAGAAGUUUGCACCUUAAAUCUGAAUUCUGAGACAACACAGGAUUUCUGCAACACGUACAGUGUAGUAUUGAAGUCAAAAGAUGCUCGUAAAAUCCAGGAAAGGCAUCAUGAUGUGGAUUGUAGUCACUUGACAGAGUGGGUCUUAGCAGAAAAUACUAAAAUUGUACAAGCACAUAAAAGUAACCUACUAGUGCUUCAUCUGUGAAAGUGUUUUUAAUAUCACAAAGUACCUGGAAAGCGCACAAAACACCACCAGAGGAAACCUCAUCUCUUUCAGUGCAAAAAGUGUUCAUCAUCGUCAUCUGAGAACAAGCAGAUGUCUUCAUGUAGCUUGCUGUUAGUAGUCUACGUUCAAUGUAUCCAAUGUGAUUUUACCAGUCCUAUGACAUCUAGACCCUCUAGGGUUGCCAGGUUUACUUCUAUCAGGACAUCCUAUCAUAGGCACUGCGUUGGUUGAUGCUGUAUUGAUCACCAAACCCCACUGGAGCACGGAGCUGGGAUACAUUGCAUGGAGGGUGAGAGCAGAGUUGAAAGAGCAUGUGAAAAACCACAAAACUUCUCCAGCCCUUUUGUGUUCAAUUUGUGGUCAAGUAUUCAAAACCAGACAUCAGAUGAAUGGACAUUGCAAACAAAUCCAUUAGAAAACACAAAUUAAAGAGAGGAAGAGAUGAAGGCUGAAGAUAAUCCUGCGUGGUCCAACACAAAACAACUGGAAAGAAGAAUUCAAGUGAAUUUGCAUGCAGUACCUGCAGUAGGCCAGAAGCCUUUCAAAUAUGAAGCCUGCCCUUACAACUCCAUCAAUGGAAGUGGCCAUGUGGCAGCAUUUACGAACACACACUAGUGAGAUGCCUUGCGAACGUCGACUCUGUUUGUAAAGUUGCUCUUUCUAUACGUAACUACUACAUAGACUGUUCUGGAAGAUGUGUGAAAUGGUAAUGUGACAAAUACAAAAGUACCUGAUAGAAGAAGGUAACAGUAUCUGUGUGUAUUCAUUCAGUGACCAGUGUCUUAAUUUACUGUGCUAGGAUUCAGAAGAUAAGGUUGGACCUUCUCAUGUACACCGACAUCGCACUGGUGAGGCAUUUGGCUCUAGUUUUUGCUGCUAUUCUUCCCCUGACAACCAACUUCUCUGAAAACAUAUUAACACCAGCUGGGUGCAGGAACCUCAUUAACCAGUUCCCAGCCCACCUUUGCUCUCAAAUCACUUCUUAUGGAAUAUUAGGUUCUUCGUGCUUAAGCUUCCACCACAGCAUCCCAGCAAAUAAAGAAGCUGUUGGCAUUGUCAGACUUUUGUGCUGAAAGCCAGGGGUGAUUUGGAAGAAGAGAAGAAACAGUCCUCUUGUGGCAAUUAGAAGCAUGGGUUAACAUAUUCAAAUAAGAUGCUUAAGAUGGUCAUCCCCAGAACAUGUGUGCAUGUUAUGGUACAGGUUGUAACUCUAAAUUGCUGAAAGUAGCAUGGAGAUUUGUGUUCUGUAAAGGUGAAUAUCUUGGUUUUUCAUUCUGGUUACAUCUUCCUGAUAUAUUCUGCUUAAUUACAAAUGAAGAGUUUGACAUUUGAAGGCAGAAUCUGUUGAAAUGUGCCUGAACUGACAUUGAACCCUACAGGUUGUUUCUGUGCUACAUCUCUCAUUUUUAAUAUUGGUCUCUAUAUAAAACAUCAAAGAAUUCAAGAAAAUCUGUUGACACAGUAAUACUCGUAAGUCACUAAAUUGUUUCCUGGAUUUUUUUUUUAACAAAAUAUGUCUCUUAUGAACUAGUCCAAGUUAAAGUAAAAAUAUAAACUAUUGAAAUACGACAUCAAAUAAACCUGACUUGAAAAUUCA
Long non-coding RNA from Oxyura jamaicensis (ruddy duck), 2613 nucleotides. RefSeq lists it as uncharacterized. The transcript is spliced from 6 exons. NCBI's taxonomy places the organism in Eukaryota, Metazoa, Chordata, Aves, Anseriformes, Anatidae. The record is from RefSeq and is a predicted model, not a curated record.